Molecule: long non-coding RNA, 1234 nt
Filed under: Equus caballus (horse)
Lineage: Eukaryota; Metazoa; Chordata; Mammalia; Perissodactyla; Equidae
Description: lncRNA (ENSECAG00000060052.1)
Source: RNAcentral
CCAGAACUCAUAGAGCGGGAAAAGGAACAAGGUCCACAUAUCAGGCUCCCAGAUUGUUCUGUUUUUUUGUGCACAUACACUAUCCAAACCCUACUCCUUACUGAUAACCUAACAUUCCAUCCCCUAAAAUCACACCCGGCACUUGAUCGCAUGCGCACGUGAACAGCGUCUCCUGGAAUGGCGUUCAAUACAAAAGCACAGUUUGGACUUUUGGAAGGAAGAAGUAAUAUCUCGCAGACAUCUCUGGGCUGGUGAGGGGUUGGAAUCACUCUCCCACGAACCAAGGAUCCUUACAAGAGACAGAGGUGGGGCGCGCGCACGCGCUGGUUGUUAAAGAUGCCCUCCCUGGCCCGCUUUCCCAGUUUCUUGAGUUACUCGCCGCCCGCAAGGCUUCGAUGUGCUCAGACGGCGUCAUCUCCUCUGUGACGACCGACCCCGGGCAUCCCCGUUUCCUUCUGCUAAAGUCCCUCCAGACCCGGUGCCGUUGCCUGUCUGCCCUGCUGUCCUCAGCGGUCACCCUGAACGGGGGUCUCUGAGGGGUCCCCGGGAGGCAGUGCGGUGUGGCAGGACAGGCCCAGCACUGGGGGCUCGUCCUGACUCUGCUCUGUGCUGCCGCCGGGCUCCCAGCGGGUCCCUCGGCUCCCCCGGCCUCCAUCUCUCCCUGAAGAGCCGGCGUCCUCUGCUCCUCUCUGCUCUGAGGCUGUUUUCCUAGGAGCCACCUGAAGUCUCCCGCAUUUACCGAUCACUGCGUCCUGCUAACUCAAAUCUCCUCCACCAGACGAUUUCUCCCCAGGGCUGCGCUGCCACGGGAAGCGCCCGCACACGGAGCCAGGACCUCAGGAGCAGGCGGCCUCGUAGGCAGCUCUUGAAUGCAAGACCACAGACCGCUCACGCGAGCCGUGGGAUGCUGUGCGACGCUGCACUUUCUUACUUUCUCUGCUGCCUCUUUCUCCUUUUUCAAUCUUUCUCAUCUGGCCCUUCCAUUGUUAUUCACCCUGUUUAUUGCUUCAAGCAACCCUGACACGCUGGACAUCAUCUGAAACUACAAACGACAGGAAGCAAUAAGCUGCAGAAUACCAGCAAUCUGAGGAAAGUUCUUCAUUCACUCCUGCUCCUAACUCUCUGUCUUCUUAUCCUACAUAGAAAAUAAAAAAAUCAAUACCACCUCACAGGGCUUGAUAAAAGUGCCGGCCGAGUACAGCAGGCGUGCUGGAUAUAGUAAAUUAAAGUGAUC